GUUAUGGAUCAGUGGUAGAGCGCUUGCCUAGCAUGUGUGAGGCACUGGGUUCAAACCUCAGCAUCACA
Molecule: transfer RNA, 68 nt
Filed under: Marmota monax (woodchuck)
Lineage: Eukaryota; Metazoa; Chordata; Mammalia; Rodentia; Sciuridae
Description: tRNA.Ala
Source: RNAcentral